AUUCAGUUGAUGAGUCGAAAAUUGAACGAAACACACGUCCUGGAU
RNAcentral lists this non-coding RNA (45 nucleotides) under Schistosoma mattheei. Lineage: Eukaryota; Metazoa; Platyhelminthes; Trematoda; Strigeidida; Schistosomatidae. The record is from RNAcentral.